AAUAAAASAUCGGCUAACUCCGUGCCAGCAGCCGCGGUAAGMGGAGAUGCAGUGUUAUCCGGAAUUAUUGGGCGUAAAGCGUUUGUAGGUGGAAAAAUAAGUCUAUUGUUAAAUCCAGGAGCUCAACUUCUGUACAGCGAUAAGAAACUAUUUUUCUUGAGAAUGGUAGGGGUAGAAGGAAUUCCUAGUGUAGCGGUGAAAUGCGUAGAUAUUAGGAAGAACACCAAAGGCGAAGGCAUUCUACUGGGCCACUUCUGACACUGAGAGACGAAAGCUAGGGGAGCGAAUGGGAUUAGAUACCCCAGUAGUCCUAGCUGUAAACGAUGGAUACUAGGGGAUGCACAUAUCGACAUGUGUAUGCUCGCAGUUCACACAGUAAGUAUCCCGCCUGGGGAGUACGCUCGCAAGGGUGAAACUCAAAGGAAUUGACGGGGGCCCGCACAAGCGGUGGAGCAUGUGGUUUAAUUUGAUGCAACGCGAAGAACCUUACCAGAACUUGACAUACCAUGGACAUUUUUAUGAAAAUAAUUAGUUCCUUCGGGACCAUGGAUACAGGUGGUGCAUGGCUGUCGUCAGCUCGUGUCGUGAGAUGUUGGGUUAAGUCCCGCAACGAGCGCAACCCUUGUCUUUUGUUACCCCUUUCGAGAGAUUGGGGGAAUCGAAAGAGACUGCCGGUCAUAAACCGGAGGAAGGUGAGGAUGACGUCAAGUCAGCAUGCCCCUUACGUUCUGGGCCACACACGUGCUACAAUGGGCAAGACAAUAAGUAGCCAGCCUGCGAAGGUGCGCAAAUCUAAGAAACUUGCCYUCAGDUCGGAUUGGAGGCUGCAACUCCCNUUCC
This 840-nucleotide ribosomal RNA is filed under the name uncultured phototrophic eukaryote. RNAcentral describes it as "bacterial SSU rRNA". It matches the Rfam family "Bacterial small subunit ribosomal RNA", at positions 484 to 1320 of the family's 1533-position model. The record is from RNAcentral.